Arvicola amphibius (Eurasian water vole) is the source of this 3359-nucleotide long non-coding RNA. RefSeq lists it as uncharacterized. NCBI's taxonomy places the organism in Eukaryota, Metazoa, Chordata, Mammalia, Rodentia, Cricetidae. The record is from RefSeq and is a predicted model, not a curated record. The transcript is spliced from 2 exons.
AGGUCUGGGUGCCAAGUCCUGAGGGCUGGACAAAGGCAGAAAGAGCAGAUAGGAUCUGAGGUCCAGCUCCUGGGAACUUGAGGGUGCCCGCCCUGUGCUUAUACUGACUUCCUGCUCCAGGGAUCUCUGUCUGGCAAGUUGGGCGCGGCCACAGUCUGAGGGUAGGGUGGUGGGAGGGGGGCAUCCUCUCUCAACCCUCCUCAUGGACUCUGCACACCAGGCACAGAGCAGUGGGAAGCAACAGUGUGUAAUGGGGUUUAAAAACCCUAGGUUUCUGGUGUUUAGUGGGAAGGGGCCAAGGAUACCAAGUUGAUAAGUUAUUUAUUUAUGUAGAGUGACAGCUGUGACAGACACAGGAUGUGGGACAGACAGGACAAUAGGAAACACAACACUACACACACACACACACACACACACACACACACACACACCAAUUAAUUUAAAAGAAGAUGGAGUUGGCCUACCUUUAAUCCCAACACUCGGGAAGCAGGUAGGCAGAUCGCUAGGCGUUUGAGGCUAGACUGGUCUACAUAGGGAGUUCUAGGCCAGUCAGGGCCACAUGGUAAGAUCCUGUUUAAGAAAAGGAGAUGGAAAGAGACAUGUAGGGAUGAAACACAGGCUAUUACAAAUGAAUUCAAAUGCAGCUGUAAUUACAAGAUAUGAAAGGUCACAAAAGGUCAAGUACUCUGGGUCAGAAAAAAAGACUGCACACUUAAAUGACUUUAUGCAAUGUUUUAUUUUAUUUUAUGUUGCUUAAACAAGAUGACUGAGACCUGUUAAUUUAUACAGAAUAUUUUUUUUUUGCUCAAGUUUGAGAAGACCAAGAGUAUGACCUUAGAAUGUGCUUGGCUUCUAUCGAAGACCUCGUGUGGCUUCAGCUUGUGAUAGGAAGAGACAGGACAUGUGGGCUCAUGAAUUGAAAAAAAAAGUACAGGAGCAGCCUUGUUUCAUGGUGGUAACUAGCCCAGUCCGAGGGACCAAAAACUUGCUCCUUUGAAGCAACAUUAAGCCUUCACAAAGGCCCUGGGCUGGUCCCCUAAAGACUUCUGGCUAGGAGCCACCUCUCAGCCCUGCCAUGCAGAACCAUGAAGACUUAACAGGUGCACCACUGUGGACGGAUGUGUUCAAACCACAGUAUACAAAAGGCCCUUCUAAGGCAUCGACUACGGCCAAAGGACAGAAAGACACACUAUGAUGACUUAUAAAACAGUGGGAGAGAGAAAGAAAGAUGCCAUUAUGUGACAGGGCUCACGUGGAGGUUAUUUUACUGGAGAAAGGGGAAGGGAAGGAGGAAGACCAGCCUCUGGAGACAGGUGUGGCAGAAGAAGAAGAGGAACAGGCAGAGAGGCAGAGAGGGGAGAAAAGGCACCUCUUUUGAGGGGAUGUAGUUGUAGCCUCAUAGCUGAUGAUGUUGUCAGCACCCUGAGCAGGUCAGAGUACUGCCUGAGUGCUGGCAAGUGCACCUGCCAGGUGACAGGGGGCAGGCCAGCAUAAUGCCCGAAUACUAACACACACCACAAAAACAAAACAAAAGAAACAAUCAAAAAAAAAAAAAAACCCACCAGCCGUGUCAGAUCAAACAGCAGGCAGCAAGGAUGCUAACAGCAAAUCAAGUUCCUGGAAAUUCUAGAAGAGACAGGGAAGAGACACAGAUGAGAACACACAGAAAGAAAGGGGCUUUCUGUCUGUGGUAUCUGAGUUGUGCUUCCUCUGUUGCUCAGGCUGACUUUGAACUCUUGGGAUAAAGUGAUUCUCUUGCCUCUACCUGAGAAUUUGCUGAUACUGUAGGUGUUAUGGCCAAAGUCCAGAAAUAACACCCUGAGCCCGAAUCUGGUGCAAAAGCAUACAGCCUUUAUUGAGAGUUAACUCAGGUCCCUCCUUUCAUCCUGAGUGGCAGCAGCAGUCGCUGCAACAGCAAUAAUAGCAGCUACAGGAGCAGAGCAGGAAAGACCCCAGUAGUAAGGGGGUGGGGGUGUUAUAGAGUGGAAGGCUUGGGGAAUUCCAAGUCUAUAGGCUUGUGAUUGGCUGCCCACUCUGGGCGAAGGUCCAGAAAAGGUUAUGGUACAUCUGUAGGUUAGGGGUUACUACUUCCCUAAGCUUAAGGUCUAUGGGGUGUCUCUAGACUAGAGGUUACUAAUUCCCUACUCAGAGACUGGUCAGUUUUUCCUGCUCAGGGAUUGGUUUGUUUUGUGUCAGGAGCAGAGAUGGCUCUGAUUUCAAGGCCAGACUAUGUUUCUUUCUCUGGUCCAUUUUAGCUUUUAGGCUCCAAUUUUAGAGCCAGGGCGAAUUUCUUUAACAGGGUCUGAUUCUAGGGGCAAGGUAUGUGUUCUUUUGGCUCUGGCUUCGGACACAGGGUGUUUUUUCUCUGGCUUUGGGUUCAGGAAUAAAGUAUUUCUUUUGUUAGCUCAGGUCCCAAAUCCAGGGUGUGUUUCUUUCACUGGCCAGAGUGUUCAUGGAUUGUGCUUGGGCUAUGGAUCACAGAUCUGCUGGGGCCUGGGUCUCUCAGUAGGCACCUGCCAUUGGUCUAUUGAUUUAGGAGUCAGUGGGUAUUUUUACAUUAAUUUAUUCGUUUUAUUUUGUGUGUAAGUGUUUUGUCCACACGUGUGUAUGUGCACUAUGUAUGUACUUAGCACCGAGGCCGGAAGACAGCGGGCUGGGAUCCUCUGGAACUGGAGGAAAUGGACUGUUAUGGUUUUGGUCUCUUUAAGGGGUCUCCAGAUGAGGCAAAGCCCAUGGGACAGUCUCACUCAGUGAGGACCAGAGGACUUUGGGACAGAGCUGAAUACUGCUGGGGCCAUGUGGCCUACACACUCUCUUUCCUCUCGUAAUAUUGAUGAAUCUCUUGGUCGUUUUUAGUGUUACUUUGUCAGUCACAUGUGGGACAAAUGUGAUCAGUCUUUGAAAUCACAUUUUUUUUUCUAAAUUAUUUUCCCCUUAAAGUCUUUGGGAACUGAUGUUUCUCAGGUUUCUUGUCUGGGGAUGCCAGCUGUCACUCCAGACCCCGAGAGCUGUCUGAUUCAGGGCUGACAGGAUCGGAAGCAAUUUGCCCCUAUUUCUGUAAAUAUGCUUUGUUAAGAUUUGAAUGGGAUUGUUGUUCUUGAAACUGUGUGCCUAUGUUUAUCACCUUUUAGUUUUGUAAAGACAGGAUGUGCCUGCUCGAUAUUUGGCCAGACUAGCAGAAUGAUAAGUGUUGUUUUUGGUUUAAAAGUUGUUUUGAUGUUAAAGUUGGGAGAAAAAAACAUAUUUGACAUAUUUGUUUUUGAUGAAGGUUAAUGUUGGAGGGUAAGAAAAACAUAUCUCUUAGUAUGGAAAACAUGUGUGUUUUGAUAUGUAAAUUAAAGAUGCCUGGAGCUAUCUGA